AUUUCAUAUGUCUGUGUUAGAGAGAUCCUGAAUUACUCUGACACCAGUAGGGAAGUUUCUGCAUGACCUCUUGUUGUGUCCCAAGGACCUCCUGUUAUAUCAAGACACAAGACAUGCCUUUCUGGGAUGUGCUGCUGUAAAGGAGAAAGCUGGAAGUAGCUGCAGUGGUUAUGAAUGAUUGAUGAAGGCCAGAUGGUCCAGAACAGCACUGGUGCUUCAAGCUGCUCCUGUUGUUUCUCUGCAAGUGUUUA
RNAcentral lists this long non-coding RNA (251 nucleotides) under Cyanistes caeruleus (blue tit). Its description in RNAcentral is "lncRNA (ENSCCEG00000000873.1)". The record is from RNAcentral. Lineage: Eukaryota; Metazoa; Chordata; Aves; Passeriformes; Paridae.